AGAUUAAGUUAUUAAGGGCGCACGGUGGAUGCCUUGGCACUAGAAGCCGAUGAAGGACGUUACUAACGACGAUAUGCUUUGGGGAGCUGUAAGUAAGCUUUGAUCCAGAGAUUUCCGAAUGGGGAAA
Molecule: ribosomal RNA, 127 nt
Filed under: Staphylococcus aureus
Lineage: Bacteria; Bacillati; Bacillota; Bacilli; Caryophanales; Staphylococcaceae
Also listed under: 1 other name
Description: partial 23S ribosomal RNA
Rfam family: Bacterial large subunit ribosomal RNA
Source: RNAcentral